AGUGUGGCAUAGGGUACUGGAAUUCCUGGUGUAGCAGUGAAAUGCGUAGAGAUCAUGAGGAACAUCCGUGGCGAAGGCGACUGCCUGGGCCAACACUGACACUGAGGCACGAAAGCGUGGGGAGCAAACAGGAUUAGAUACCCUGGUAGUCCACGCCCUAAACGAUGCGAACUGGAUGUUGGGUGCAAUUUGGCACGCAGUAUCGAAGC
RNAcentral lists this ribosomal RNA (209 nucleotides) under Stenotrophomonas sp. RNAcentral's name for it is "partial 16S ribosomal RNA". It matches the Rfam family "Bacterial small subunit ribosomal RNA", at positions 645 to 852 of the family's 1533-position model. Lineage: Bacteria; Pseudomonadati; Pseudomonadota; Gammaproteobacteria; Lysobacterales; Lysobacteraceae. The record is from RNAcentral.